GGCCAGUAGGUGGAGUCAGGUUACUAGGCAAUAUACUGAACAACACCAUCCUAGCACUGAUCCUAGGAAGAUCCCAAUGAAGAUCUCAGGAGAAAAACCUGAGGAUAAAAUACUGUUACAAGAACCAUUGGCCAUUAUCUUUGAAAACUCG
This is a long non-coding RNA of Mauremys reevesii (Reeves's turtle), 151 nucleotides long. RefSeq lists it as uncharacterized. Lineage: Eukaryota; Metazoa; Chordata; Testudines; Geoemydidae. The record is from RefSeq and is a predicted model, not a curated record. The transcript is spliced from 3 exons.